RNAcentral lists this ribosomal RNA (984 nucleotides) under Platismatia tuckermanii. Its description in RNAcentral is "SSU rRNA". It matches the Rfam family "Bacterial small subunit ribosomal RNA", at positions 351 to 1118 of the family's 1533-position model. Lineage: Eukaryota; Fungi; Ascomycota; Lecanoromycetes; Lecanorales; Parmeliaceae. The record is from RNAcentral.
GCAGUGAGGGAANNUUGUCAUAGCCUAACGGCUGAACCAGCAACUUGGAGGAAUGUAUAGCACUAGCUACUUGCAUCAUGUUUCUUUAGUUUUCGUAAAGGAUACUACGGAGACUGAUGAUGCAAGAUCGACUAUGUUGAAUAAAAUUCUAGGUAGAAUUAUGAUAAUGACAUUGUCUGCCUAUGUGUCUUGACUAAAUUACGUGCCAGCAGUCGCGGUAAUACGUAGAAGACUAGUGUUAUUCAUCUUUAAUAGGUUUAAAGGGUACCUAGACGGUAAAUCAAGCUUACAUGAAAUAAGAUAAAUGCAGGGACUAAUUUACUAGAGUUACUUAUGAGGGGGUUUUAAAGUACUGCUGGUGUAGAGAUGAAAUUCUGUCAUACCUAUUUUCAAUAGAAAACUGAGGGCACAGGUAUAGGCGAAAGCAUCCCCUUAUGUGAUAACUGACGUUGAGGGACGAAGGCUUUGUGUAGCGAACAGGAUUAGAUACCCUAGUAGUCAAAGCAGAAAAUGAUGAAUGUCAUAGAUUAGACGUAUAAGUUUAUUCUAUAAAUGAAAGUGUAAGCAUUCCACCUCAAGAGUAAUUUGGCAACAUUGGAACUGAAAUCAUUAGACCGUUUCUGAAACCAGUAGUGAAGUAUGUUGUUUAAUUUGAUGGUCCGCAAAAAACCUUACCACAAUUUGAAUAUUUAUAUUUUUUUUAUUGUUUUCUUAUUAAUUUUAUUCCUUUUCUGCAGUUUUUUCUUGUUUUUAUUUUACUUCUUAUUUCUUCUUUUUCAGAUUUCUUUUAGUGUACUACACUACAAGAAAUUUGAAAAAAAAGAAGAAAUAAGAAUAAUAAUCAGAAUAUGAUAAGAUCAGAAAAUCAGAAAAUUAAUGAGGGGGCAAUAAAGUAUAUUUACAAGCGCUGCACGGCUGUCUUCAGUUAAUGUCGCGAGACUAUGGUUAGUUCCAUUAAUUAACGUAAACCCUUACUUUAUUUUU